UAGUCAUAUGCUUGUCUCAAAGAUUAAGCCAUGCAUGUCUAAGUAUAAACUGCUUAUACUGUGAAACUGCGAAUGGCUCAUUAAAUCAGUUAGAGUUUAUUUGAUGGUACCUUGCUACUUGGAUAACCGUAGUAAUUCUAGAGCUAAUACAUGCGUAAAUCCCGACUCACGAAGGGACGUAUUUAUUAGAUCCAAGACCGACCGUGCUUGCACGCUCUUGGUGAAUCAUGAUAACUUCACGAAUCGCAUGGCCUUGCGCCGGCGAUGUUUCAUUCAA
RNAcentral lists this ribosomal RNA (277 nucleotides) under uncultured eukaryote. Its description in RNAcentral is "partial 18S ribosomal RNA". It matches the Rfam family "Eukaryotic small subunit ribosomal RNA", at positions 21 to 302 of the family's 1831-position model. The record is from RNAcentral.